UAGGGAAUCUUGGACAAUGGGCGAAAGCCUGAUCCAGCCAUGCCGCGUGAGUGAAGAAGGCCUUAGGGUUGUAAAGCUCUUUUGGCGGGGACGAUAAUGACGGUACCCGCAGAAUAAGCCCCGGCUAACUUCGUGCCAGCAGCCGCGGUAAUACGAAGGGGGCUAGCGUUGUUCGGAAUUACUGGGCGUAAAGCGCUCGCAGGCGGAUUGAUAAGUCGGGGGUGAAAUCCCGGGGCUCAACCUCGGAAUUGCCUUCGAUACUGUCUAUCUAGAGUCCGGGAGAGGUGAGUGGAAUUCCUAGUGUAGAGGUGAAAUUCGUAGAUAUUAGGAAGAACACCAGUGGCGAAGGCGGCUCACUGGCCCGGAACUGACGCUCAUGAGCGAAAGCGUGGGGAGCAAACAGGAUUAGAUACCCCCGUAGUCC
RNAcentral lists this ribosomal RNA (424 nucleotides) under uncultured bacterium. RNAcentral describes it as "bacterial SSU rRNA". It matches the Rfam family "Bacterial small subunit ribosomal RNA", at positions 355 to 796 of the family's 1533-position model. The record is from RNAcentral.